Molecule: unclassified non-coding RNA, 226 nt
Filed under: uncultured fungus
Lineage: Eukaryota; Fungi
Description: sequence contains ITS1, 5.8S rRNA gene
Rfam family: 5.8S ribosomal RNA (bases 178-226)
Source: RNAcentral
UCUCCGUAGGUGAACCUGCGGAGGGAUCAUUACUGAGUGAGGGUCUCCGGGCCCGACCUCCAACCCUUUGUCGAACUUACCUUGUUGCCUCGGGGCGCGCCUUCGCGGACGGCCCCAGAGGACCAACCAUCAAAACCCUGCGUAACUAAGUCGUCGGAGUUUAAACAAAUUAAACAAAACUUUCAACAACGGAUCUCUUGGUUCGGGCAUCGAUGAAGAACGCAGC